Molecule: non-coding RNA, 88 nt
Organism: Paramuricea clavata
Lineage: Eukaryota; Metazoa; Cnidaria; Anthozoa; Malacalcyonacea; Plexauridae
Source: the annotation of a GenBank genome assembly
GAAAAUAUAGCCUUGCAAAGUUUGCAUAUUUUGUAUACAAAUAUACUGAAAAUAUGCAAACUUCGCAAGGCUAUAUUUUCUGCAUUUU